RNAcentral lists this ribosomal RNA (802 nucleotides) under uncultured Denitratisoma sp. RNAcentral's name for it is "bacterial SSU rRNA". It matches the Rfam family "Bacterial small subunit ribosomal RNA", at positions 555 to 1353 of the family's 1533-position model. Lineage: Bacteria; Pseudomonadati; Pseudomonadota; Betaproteobacteria; Nitrosomonadales; Sterolibacteriaceae. The record is from RNAcentral.
UGGGCGUAAAGCGUGCGCAGGCGGUUCUAUAAGACAGAUGUGAAAUCCCCGGGCUUAACCUGGGAACUGCGUUUGUGACUGUAGGACUUGAGUGUAGCAGAGGGGGGUGGAAUUCCACGUGUAGCAGUGAAAUGCGUAGAGAUGUGGAGGAACACCGAUGGCGAAGGCAGCCCCCUGGGUUAACACUGACGCUCAUGCACGAAAGCGUGGGGAGCAAACAGGAUUAGGUACCCUGGUAGUCCACGCCCUAAACGAUGCCAACUAGGUGUUGGGGAAGGAGACUUCCUUAGUACCGUAGCUAACGCGUGAAGUUGGCCGCCUGGGGAGUACGGUCGCAAGAUUAGAACUCGAAGGAAUUGACGGGGACCCGCACAAGGCGGUGGAUGAUGUGGAUUAAUUCGAUGCAACGCGAAAAACCUUACCUACCCUUGACAUGUCCGGAAUCCUGCUGAGAGGUGGGAGUGCUCGAAAGAGAGCCGGAACACAGGUGCUGCAUGGCUGUCGUCAGCUCGUGUCGUGAGAUGUUGGGUUAAGUCCCGCAACGAGCGCAACCGUUGUCAUUAGUUGCCAUCAUUUAGUUGGGCACUCUAAUGAGACUGCCGGUGACAAACGCGGAGGAAGGUGGGGAUGACGUCAAGUCCUCAUGGCCCUUAUGGGUAGGGCUUCACACGUCAUACAAUGGUCGGUACAGAGGGUCGCCAACCCGCGAGGGGGAGCCAAUCUCACAAAGCCGAUCGUAGUCCGGAUUGGAGUCUGCAACUCGACUCCAUGAAGUUGGAAUCGCUAGUAAUCGCGAAUCAGA